RNAcentral lists this ribosomal RNA (467 nucleotides) under uncultured bacterium. Its description in RNAcentral is "partial 16S ribosomal RNA". It matches the Rfam family "Bacterial small subunit ribosomal RNA", at positions 28 to 507 of the family's 1533-position model. The record is from RNAcentral.
GUCGAACGCUGGCGGCGUGCUUAACACAUGCAAGUCGAACGGAAAGGCCCUGCUUUUGUGGGGUGCUCGAGUGGCGAACGGGUGAGUAACACGUGAGUAACCUGCCCUUGACUUUGGGAUAACUUCAGGAAACUGGGGCUAAUACCGGAUAGGAGCUCCUGCUGCAUGGUGGGGUUGGAAAGUUUCGGCGGUUGGGGAUGGACUCGCGGCUUAUCAGCUUGUUGGUGGGGUAGUGGCUUACCAAGGCUUUGACGGGUAGCCGGCCUGAGAGGGUGACCGGCCACAUUGGGACUGAGAUACGGCCCAGACUCCUACGGGAGGCAGCAGUGGGGAAUAUUGCACAAUGGGCGGAAGCCUGAUGCAGCAACGCCGCGUGCGGGAUGACGGCCUUCGGGUUGUAAACCGCUUUCGCCUGUGACGAAGCGUGAGUGACGGUAAUGGGUAAAGAAGCACCGGCUAACUACGUG